RNAcentral lists this ribosomal RNA (468 nucleotides) under uncultured bacterium. RNAcentral's name for it is "partial 16S ribosomal RNA". It matches the Rfam family "Bacterial small subunit ribosomal RNA", at positions 28 to 507 of the family's 1533-position model. The record is from RNAcentral.
GAUGAACGCUGGCGGCGUGCUUAACACAUGCAAGUCGAACGGUGAAGGCGGAGCUUGCUCUGCUGGAUCAGUGGCGAACGGGUGAGUAACACGUGAGCAAUCUGCCCCUGACUCUGGGAUAAGCGCUGGAAACGGCGUCUAAUACUGGAUACGAGCUGCGAAGGCAUCUUCAGCAGCUGGAAAGAAUUUCGGUCAGGGAUGAGCUCGCGGCCUAUCAGCUUGUUGGUGGGGUAAUGGCUCACCAAGGCGUCGACGGGUAGCCGGCCUGAGAGGGUGACCGGCCACACUGGGACUGAGACACGGCCCAGACUCCUACGGGAGGCAGCAGUGGGGAAUAUUGCACAAUGGGCGGAAGCCUGAUGCAGCAACGCCGCGUGAGGGACGACGGCCCUCGGGUUGUAAACCUCUUUUAGCAGGGAAGAAGCGAAAGUGACGGUACCGGCAGAAAAAGCGCCGGCUAACUACGUG